Molecule: ribosomal RNA, 725 nt
Filed under: Stenotrophomonas rhizophila
Lineage: Bacteria; Pseudomonadati; Pseudomonadota; Gammaproteobacteria; Lysobacterales; Lysobacteraceae
Description: bacterial SSU rRNA
Rfam family: Bacterial small subunit ribosomal RNA
Source: RNAcentral
GUCGAACGGCAGCACAGUAAGAGCUUGCUCUUACGGGUGGCGAGUGGCGGACGGGUGAGGAAUACAUCGGAAUCUACCUUUUCGUGGGGGAUAACGUAGGGAAACUUACGCUAAUACCGCAUACGACCUUCGGGUGAAAGCAGGGGACCUUCGGGCCUUGCGCGGAUAGAUGAGCCGAUGUCGGAUUAGCUAGUUGGCGGGGUAAAGGCCCACCAAGGCGACGAUCCGUAGCUGGUCUGAGAGGAUGAUCAGCCACACUGGAACUGAGACACGGUCCAGACUCCUACGGGAGGCAGCAGUGGGGAAUAUUGGACAAUGGGCGCAAGCCUGAUCCAGCCAUACCGCGUGGGUGAAGAAGGCCUUCGGGUUGUAAAGCCCUUUUGUUGGGAAAGAAAAGCAAUCGAUUAAUACUCGGUUGUUCUGACGGUACCCAAAGAAUAAGCACCGGCUAACUUCGUGCCAGCAGCCGCGGUAAUACGAAGGGUGCAAGCGUUACUCGGAAUUACUGGGCGUAAAGCGUGCGUAGGUGGUUGUUUAAGUCUGUUGUGAAAGCCCUGGGCUCAACCUGGGAAUUGCAGUGGAUACUGGGCAACUAGAGUGUGGUAGAGGGUAGUGGAAUUCCCGGUGUAGCAGUGAAAUGCGUAGAGAUCGGGAGGAACAUCCAUGGCGAAGGCAGCUACCUGGACCAACACUGACACUGAGGCACGAAAAGCGUGGGGAGCAAA